AGAGUUUGAUCAUGGCUCAGGAUGAACGCUAGCUACAGGCUUAACACAUGCAAGUCGAGGGGAAACGACAUCGAAAGCUUGCUUUUGAUGGGCGUCGACCGGCGCACGGGUGAGUAACGCGUAUCCAACCUGCCCACCACUUGGGGAUAACCUUGCGAAAGUAAGACUAAAUACCCAAUGAUAUCUCUAGAAGACAUCUGAAAGAGAUUAAAGAUUUAUCGGUGAUGGAUGGGGAUGCGUCUGAUUAGCUUGUUGGCGGGGUAACGCCACAAGGCGACGAUCAGUAGGGGUUCUGAGAGGAACGGUCCCCANAUUGGAACUGAGACACGGUCCAAACUCCUAGGGAGGCA
RNAcentral lists this ribosomal RNA (350 nucleotides) under uncultured bacterium. RNAcentral's name for it is "bacterial SSU rRNA". It matches the Rfam family "Bacterial small subunit ribosomal RNA", at positions 8 to 350 of the family's 1533-position model. The record is from RNAcentral.